Molecule: ribosomal RNA, 497 nt
Filed under: uncultured bacterium
Lineage: Bacteria
Description: partial 16S ribosomal RNA
Rfam family: Bacterial small subunit ribosomal RNA
Source: RNAcentral
GGUGAACGCUGGCGGCGUGCCUAAUACAUGCAAGUCGAGCGAACGGACGAGAAGCUUGCUUUCCUAAUGUUAGCUGCGGACGGGUGACUAACACGUGGAUAAGCUACCUAUAAGACUGGGAUAACUUCGUGAAACCUGAGCUAAUACCGGAUAAUAUUUUCUACCGCAUGAUUCAUACGUGAAAGACUGUCUUGCUGUCACUUAUAGAUGGUUCCGCGUUGCAUUAGCUAGUUGGUAAGGUAACGGCAUACCAAGGCAACGAUGCAUAGCCGACCUGAGGGGGUGAUCGGCCACACUGGAACUGAGACACGGUCCAGACUCCUACGGGAGGAAGCAGUAGGGAAUCUUCCGCAAUGGGCGAAAGCCUGACGGAGCAACACCGCGUGAGUGAUGAAGGUCUUCGGAUCGUAAAGCUCUGUUAUUAGGAAAGAAGAUAUGUGUAAGUAACUGUGAACAUAAUGACGGUACCUAAACAGAAAGCCCCGGCUAACUUCGUG